Homo sapiens (human) is the source of this 855-nucleotide long non-coding RNA. RefSeq lists it as uncharacterized. The transcript is spliced from 3 exons. The record is from RefSeq and is a predicted model, not a curated record. NCBI's taxonomy places the organism in Eukaryota, Metazoa, Chordata, Mammalia, Primates, Hominidae.
CAUCCCAUGCCAGCCGGGUACAUUUGGCCCCCGCUUAGGCCAGGAUGAAGCCACAGACUGCACCCCUUGCCCAGCAGGCAGGGCCUGUACCCAGGCUGGGCUGACACACCCCGACGCAGCGUGCUCACCGGGGUAAGUGCCCGCCAUUUCUCAAUGAUGAGUGUCCCGAUGGGGGCCAGAGCCAUCCCCCUAACACCCUUAGAGAAUCAGUCCCAGGUCAAGGCCAGACUUCUCCCAGCCUCUGACCCUCUCAGGGUUCGGAGAGGGCUGCGCCUUCAGAUCAAAGCUCUGUCUCAGCCAGCCCAGGGCUCCAGGACUUGCCCCCGAGCACCGAGGCCCAGCACUGUCUCAGGUCCAUCCAUGCUCAGGAGGCGUCUAGGGAGCUGUCUUCCUGGCUUUGUCCAUGGAGAAAGUAGCUCAGAGAGGCCAGGUUACCAUGCAGACUCACAGAGCAGGCCAGGGGCACGGCGGGAUCUGGCCAUGACUCUCCAAGAUGCCGGGCUCUGCGUGGUGGGCACCAGGUGCCAACUCCCCUGCUGCUGUAGGAACCGGGGGCCCAGACUGGCCCCCCAUCCCCUGCUCAGCUGGCCAUUAUUGCCCUCCCGGCACCAAAAAGCCAACCCAGUUCCAGUGUCCUCCCGGCAUCUGGAGUAACCAGACUGGAUUGACCAUGAGCGAGGAGUGUAUGCCCUGCCCCAGGGGCUGGUUCUGUGUCAGUGGAGCUCAGGUGCCCUCAGGGACAUGCAGGGCCGGGCAUUACUGCCCAUGAGGGGCGAAGUGGAGGACACAGUUCCCCUGCCCAGCAGGCACCUGCAGCUCCCAGGCAGGCAACGGCCAGCUCGAGGACUGUCUGCC